GAUCACUCCCUCUCUCUCCAAGCUCUUGGAGGAUGAAAGAAUGAAAUGGAAGUUAUGAGGAAAUAGGAAGGAAGGGGUCCGUAUCUAUAGAAAAUGGGAAACAUUAGAUUUGCACCAAGUGACAAAAUCUGGUGAGUAGCAAAAAAGUUAAUGGGAAAAGAGUGAUGUGAUGCGACAUGAUCGUAGUACAAAAAAUAGAGGCAC
RNAcentral lists this long non-coding RNA (204 nucleotides) under Carica papaya (papaya). Its description in RNAcentral is "long non-coding RNA (CPAP_LNC005631)". Lineage: Eukaryota; Viridiplantae; Streptophyta; Magnoliopsida; Brassicales; Caricaceae. The record is from RNAcentral.